UACGAAGGGGGCUAGCGUUGCUCGGAAUCACUGGGCGUAAAGCGCACGUAGGCGGAUUUUUAAGUCAGGGGUGAAAUCCUGGAGCUCAACUCCAGAACUGCCUUUGAUACUGGGAAUCUAGAGUCCGGGAGAGGUGAGUGGAACUGCGAGUGUAGAGGUGAAAUUCGUAGAUAUUCGCAAGAACACCAGUGGCGAAGGCGGCCCACUGGUCCGGUACUGACGCUGAGGUGCGAAAGCGUGGGGAGCAAACAGG
RNAcentral lists this ribosomal RNA (253 nucleotides) under uncultured bacterium. Its description in RNAcentral is "partial 16S ribosomal RNA". It matches the Rfam family "Bacterial small subunit ribosomal RNA", at positions 524 to 776 of the family's 1533-position model. The record is from RNAcentral.